Molecule: ribosomal RNA, 499 nt
Filed under: uncultured Desulfobulbus sp.
Lineage: Bacteria; Pseudomonadati; Thermodesulfobacteriota; Desulfobulbia; Desulfobulbales; Desulfobulbaceae
Description: bacterial SSU rRNA
Rfam family: Bacterial small subunit ribosomal RNA
Source: RNAcentral
UUGCCAGCCCGCUCAGAAACUUAAAGGAAUUGACGGGGCCCGCACAAGCGGUGGAGCAUGUGGUUUAAUCGAAGCAACGCGAAGAACCUUACCAGGCCUUGACAUGCAGAGAACUUUCCAGAGAUGGAUUGGUGCCUUCGGGAACUCUGACACAGGUGCUGCAUGGCUGUCGUCAGCUCGUGUCGUGAGAUGUUGGGUUAAGUCCCGCAACGAGCGCAACCCUUGCCUUUAGUUGCCAGCAGUUCGGCUGGGCACUCUAAAGGGACUGCCGGUGUUAAACCGGAGGAAGGUGGGGAUGACGUCAAGUCCUCAUGGCCUUUAUGACCAGGGCUACACACGUACUACAAUGGCCGAUACAAAGGGCAGCGACACUGCGAGGUGAAGCCAAUCCCGUAAAAUCGGUCUCAGUCCGGAUUGGAGUCUGCAACUCGACUCCAUGAAGUUGGAAUCGCUAGUAAUCGUGGAUCAGCAUGCCACGGUGAAUACGUUCCCGGGCCUU